Molecule: ribosomal RNA, 1512 nt
Filed under: Lactiplantibacillus plantarum
Lineage: Bacteria; Bacillati; Bacillota; Bacilli; Lactobacillales; Lactobacillaceae
Description: partial 16S ribosomal RNA
Rfam family: Bacterial small subunit ribosomal RNA
Source: RNAcentral
GACGAACGCUGGCGGCGUGCCUAAUACAUGCAAGUCGAACGAACUCUGGUAUUGAUUGGUGCUUGCAUCAUGAUUUACAUUUGAGUGAGUGGCGAACUGGUGAGUAACACGUGGGAAACCUGCCCAGAAGCGGGGGAUAACACCUGGAAACAGAUGCUAAUACCGCAUAACAACUUGGACCGCAUGGUCCGAGCUUGAAAGAUGGCUUCGGCUAUCACUUUUGGAUGGUCCCGCGGCGUAUUAGCUAGAUGGUGGGGUAACGGCUCACCAUGGCAAUGAUACGUAGCCGACCUGAGAGGGUAAUCGGCCACAUUGGGACUGAGACACGGCCCAAACUCCUACGGGAGGCAGCAGUAGGGAAUCUUCCACAAUGGACGAAAGUCUGAUGGAGCAACGCCGCGUGAGUGAAGAAGGGUUUCGGCUCGUAAAACUCUGCUGUUAAAGAAGAACAUAUCUGAGAGUAACUGUUCAGGUAUUGACGGUAUUUAACCAGAAAGCCACGGCUAACUACGUGCCAGCAGCCGCGGUAAUACGUAGGUGGCAAGCGUUGUCCGGAUUUAUUGGGCGUAAAGCGAGCGCAGGCGGUUUUUUAAGUCUGAUGUGAAAGCCUUCGGCUCAACCGAAGAAGUGCAUCGGAAACUGGGAAACUUGAGUGCAGAAGAGGACAGUGGAACUCCAUGUGUAGCGGUGAAAUGCGUAGAUAUAUGGAAGAACACCAGUGGCGAAGGCGGCUGUCUGGUCUGUAACUGACGCUGAGGCUCGAAAGUAUGGGUAGCAAACAGGAUUAGAUACCCUGGUAGUCCAUACCGUAAACGAUGAAUGCUAAGUGUUGGAGGGUUUCCGCCCUUCAGUGCUGCAGCUAACGCAUUAAGCAUUCCGCCUGGGGAGUACGGCCGCAAGGCUGAAACUCAAAGGAAUUGACGGGGGCCCGCACAAGCGGUGGAGCAUGUGGUUUAAUUCGAAGCUACGCGAAGAACCUUACCAGGUCUUGACAUACUAUGCAAAUCUAAGAGAUUAGACGUUCCCUUCGGGGACAUGGAUACAGGUGGUGCAUGGUUGUCGUCAGCUCGUGUCGUGAGAUGUUGGGUUAAGUCCCGCAACGAGCGCAACCCUUAUUAUCAGUUGCCAGCAUUAAGUUGGGCACUCUGGUGAGACUGCCGGUGACAAACCGGAGGAAGGUGGGGAUGACGUCAAAUCAUCAUGCCCCUUAUGACCUGGGCUACACACGUGCUACAAUGGAUGGUACAACGAGUUGCGAACUCGCGAGAGUAAGCUAAUCUCUUAAAGCCAUUCUCAGUUCGGAUUGUAGGCUGCAACUCGCCUACAUGAAGUCGGAAUCGCUAGUAAUCGCGGAUCAGCAUGCCGCGGUGAAUACGUUCCCGGGCCUUGUACACACCGCCCGUCACACCAUGAGAGUUUGUAACACCCAAAGUCGGUGGGGUAACCUUUUAGGAACCAGCCGCCUAAGGUGGGACAGAUGAUUAGGGUGAAGUCGUAACAAGGUAGCCGUAG